This 73-nucleotide transfer RNA is filed under the name Candidatus Roizmanbacteria bacterium CG_4_10_14_0_8_um_filter_39_9. Its description in RNAcentral is "tRNA-Pro". It matches the Rfam family "tRNA". Rfam says of the family: Transfer RNA (tRNA) molecules are approximately 80 nucleotides in length. Their secondary structure includes four short double-helical elements and three loops (D, anti-codon, and T loops). The record is from RNAcentral. Lineage: Bacteria; Candidatus Roizmaniibacteriota.
CGGAGCGUAGUUCAGAUGGUAGAACAUAGCGUUCGGGACGCUAAGGUCGUGGGUUCAAGUCCCGCCGCUCCGA